CUGCUCAGUAACACGUGGACAACCUACCCUAUGGAGGGGGAUAACCCCGGGAAACUGGGGAUAAUACCCCAUAGACUAUAGAUGCUGGAAUGCUUUGUAGUUGAAAGGUCCGCCGCCAUAGGAUGGGUCUGCGGCCGAUUAGGUUGUUGUUGGGGUAACGGCCCAACAAGCCUGUAAUCGGUACGGGUUGUGGGAGCAAGAGCCCGGAGAUGGAUUCUGAGACACGAAUCCAGGCCCUACGGGGCGCAGCAGGCGCGAAAACUUUACAAUGCGGGAAACCGUGAUAAGGGAACUCCGAGUGCCCGUAAAAUCGGGCUGUCCAUCUGUUUAAAUAACAGGUGAAGAAAGGGCCGGGCAAGACCGGUGCCAGCCGCCGCGGUAAUACCGGCGGCUCGAGUGGUGGCCACUAUUACUGGGCUUAAAGCGUUCGUAGCUGGUCUGUUAAGUCUCUGGGGAAAUCUACUGGCUUAACCAAUAGGCGUCUCAGGGAUACUGGCAGACUAGGGACCGGGAGAGGUGAGAGGUACUCCAGGGGUAGGAGUGAAAUCCUGUAAUCCUUGGGGGACCACCUGUGGCGAAGGCGUCUCACCAGAACGGCUCCGACAGUGAGGGACGAA
This 617-nucleotide ribosomal RNA is filed under the name uncultured Methanoregula sp. Its description in RNAcentral is "bacterial SSU rRNA". It matches the Rfam family "Archaeal small subunit ribosomal RNA", at positions 86 to 708 of the family's 1478-position model. The record is from RNAcentral. Lineage: Archaea; Methanobacteriati; Methanobacteriota; Methanomicrobia; Methanomicrobiales; Methanoregulaceae.